RNAcentral lists this ribosomal RNA (339 nucleotides) under uncultured Pseudomonadota bacterium. RNAcentral's name for it is "bacterial SSU rRNA". It matches the Rfam family "Bacterial small subunit ribosomal RNA", at positions 29 to 351 of the family's 1533-position model. Lineage: Bacteria; Pseudomonadati; Pseudomonadota. The record is from RNAcentral.
AACAAACGCUGGCGGCGUGCCUAACACAUGCAAGUCGUACGAGAAAGGGUCCUUCGGGACCUGAGUAAAGUGGCGCACGGGUGAGUAACGCGUGGAUAAUCUACCCUUCAGUUGGGAACAACUCAUCGAAAGGUGGGCUAAUACCGAAUAAUACUGCGAGACUUUGGUCGAGCAGCCAAAGAGAGCCUCUGCUUGCAAGCCCUCGCUGAAGGAUGAGUCCGCGUACCAUUAGCUUGUUGGUAGGGUAAUGGCCUACCAAGGCUGCGAUGGUUAGCUGGUCUGAGAGGAUGAUCAGCCACACUGGAACUGAGACACGGUCCAGACUCCUACGGGUGGCUG